RNAcentral lists this ribosomal RNA (405 nucleotides) under uncultured bacterium. RNAcentral describes it as "partial 16S ribosomal RNA". It matches the Rfam family "Bacterial small subunit ribosomal RNA", at positions 28 to 526 of the family's 1533-position model. The record is from RNAcentral.
GAUGAACGCUGGCGGCGUGCCUAAUACAUGCAAGUCGAACGAAGCGGGGACGGGUGAGUAACACGUGGAUAACCUCCUAUAAGACUGGGAGAACUUCGGGAAACCGGAGUUAAACCGGAUACUUAUAGUAUGAUCCGCGCUGGUUUAGCUAGUUGGUAAUGUAAUGGCUUACCAAGGCAACGAUGCCUAGCCGACUUUGGAGGGUGAUCAGCCACACUGGAACUGAGACACGGUCCAGACUCCUACGGGAGGCAGCAGUGGGGAAUCUUCCACAAUGGGCGCAAGCCUGACGCAGCAACGCCGCGGGAGUGAAGAAGGUCUUCGGAUCGUAAAGCUCUGUUAGUAGGGAAGCGGUACCUAAUCAGAAAGCCACGGCUAACUCCGUGCCAGCCGCCGCGGUAAUAC